UCUCUGGUGGCUUAGAGGAUAAAGCGUCUGCUCAAAAUGCAGGAGACCUGGGUUCGAUCCCUGGGUCGGGAA
RNAcentral lists this transfer RNA (72 nucleotides) under Ovis aries (sheep). It matches the Rfam family "tRNA". Rfam says of the family: Transfer RNA (tRNA) molecules are approximately 80 nucleotides in length. Their secondary structure includes four short double-helical elements and three loops (D, anti-codon, and T loops). The record is from Rfam by way of RNAcentral. Lineage: Eukaryota; Metazoa; Chordata; Mammalia; Artiodactyla; Bovidae.